CGUGAGCAUCCGUCCAACCCGAGCAGAGCGGAUGUCUGUCCCGCGUCCCAUUGACAAUUCAAUCCCCACGCACCGUCCUCACCUCAACAGCUCUCGCCUCGCCAUGCCUCUCCCCGUCCUGCUCGCCCUGCUCUGCGCCCUACACGCUCCCGCGAGCUCCGCGUCCACGGAGACGUACUCCCUCUCGCCAGGCCAGUUGCUCGCCGGCGGCGACAAGCUCGUCUCCAGCGGCGGCAAGUUCGCGCUCGGCUUCAUCCAGAUCCCAGGCAGCGACAGCAAACCCUCCGGCUCCGGCGGCAACAGCACUCAGUUACGCAUAUGGUUCAACCGUGUUCCCAAGCUGACCUCGGUGUGGGUAGCCAACAGGGGAGGCAGCCCGGUGACAGGCGCCGCCUCCCCGGAGCUCACGAUCUCCGGCGACGGCAACCUCGUCAUCGUGGACCACGGCAAAGUCGCCUGGUCCACCCAAGCCGCCGCCACAGCCAGCAACAACAGGACGGUCCUCCUUCUCCUGGACACCGGGAACCUCGUCCUGCGCAGCGCCUCCGACGUGCUGUGGCAGAGCUUCGACCACCCCACGGACACUCUGCUCCCCGGCGCCACCAUCGGGCUGGACAAGGUCACCGGCCGGAGCCGCCGCCUCGUCUCCAGCAAGAACCGGAUCGACCAGGCUCUGGGCCUCUACUCCAUGGAGCUGGGCCGCAGCGGCGUCGUCCAGAUGCUGUGGGACUCGUCCGUGCCGUACUGGUCCAGCGGGGAGUGGAACGGCGGGUACUUCAGCUCGGUGCCGGGGAUGACCGCCCGCCACCUGUUUGGCUUCACGUUCGUCAACGACGACCGGGAGGUGUCCUUCGCCUACCACCUGCUCGACGAAACGAUCACCAUGUACAGCUUCCUGGACGUGUCCGGGCAGAGGAAGGUGUUGGCCUGGCACGAGGCUACGCAGAACUGGGCGACGGUCUACACCCACCCCACCGCGCAGUGCGAGGUACACGCCGCCUGCGGGCCAUUUACGGUCUGCGACGACAACGCGCCGACGCGGUGCAGCUGCAUGAAGGGAUUCUCCGUGGGUUCGCCUGAGGAUUGGGACCUUGAUGAUCGGAGCACGAGCGGAUGCAGGAGGAACACUCAGCUGAAUUGUGCUAGCAUUAGCAGCGGCACCAUGGUUGGCAUGGCUGACAUGUUCUACACCAUGCCGUCCGUCAGAUUGCCCUAUAAUCCCCACAGCGCCGUUGGACAUGUCGCCAGCGCAGUCGAAUGCGAGCAGGUCUGUCUGAGCAACUGCUCUUGCAGUGCAUAUACCUUUGGAAGUGGUGGCUGUUCUAUGUGGCAUGGUGGAUUGCUGAAUGUAAAACAACACCACCAGAUUGAUGGUGCUUCCAGCGGUGAUGGCGAAAUUCUUCACAUCCGCCUCGCGGCAAAAGAGUUCCGGACUCGGAAAAACAACAAUGUAGUUAUCAUUUUAGGUGCCAUUGGUGCAGGCCUCAACGCUCUGGGUAUCUUGGUACUCAUCGUAGUGCUACGCAGGACCAGGAGGAACAAAAGGUACAGUGAAACAUUAGACAAAAUCCAUGGUGGUAGUGGGCUUGUUUCAUUCAGAUACAGCGAUUUGCGGCGUGCAACUAGAGAUUUCUCGGAGAAGAUUGGGGCAGGUGGUUUUGGUUCUGUGUUCAAGGGGUCACUAAAUGAUUCGACCACUAUAGCCGUGAAAAGGCUUCACGGUUGUUAUCAACAAGAGAAGCAAUUCAGGGCUGAGGUGAGUUCAAUUGGAAUCCUCCACCAUACAAAUUUAGUCAAAAUAGUUGGUUUUUGUUGUGAGGGCGACAAGAAGCUUCUUGUCUAUGAACACAUGCCAAAUAGUUCCCUUGAUGCCCAUCUGUUCAGGAGCAGUGCCAAAACUCUGAAUUGGAGAACCAGAUACCAAAUAGCUCUUGGAGUUGCGAGGGGGCUGGCAUACUUGCACGAGAGCUGCCUGGACUACAUCAUACACUGUGAUAUAAAGCCGCAAAACAUACUUCUGGACGCAUUGUUUGUUCCUAAGAUUGCUGACUUUGGGAUGGCAAAGCUUCUGACAAGGGAUUUUAGCCGGGUCAUGACCACAACCAGGGGCACAAUUGGGUACCUUGCCCCUGAAUGGAUCAGUGGAGUGGCUAUCACACCCAAAGUCGAUGUGUAUGGAUAUGGGAUGGUGCUACUGGAGAUCAUAUCGGGGAGGAUGAACGCGAACGGAGAAUGCGGCAGCAGUGGUGAUGGCAUUGUUUAUUUCCCCAUCCAGGUGGCACGCAAGCUUCUCGAGGGAAAUGUCACGAGCUUCGUGGAUGAUAGGUUAAACGGUGAUGUCAUCAUCGACGAGGUUGAAAGGGCUUGCAAGGUUGCCUGUUGGUGCAUUCAGGACAGGGAGUUUGAACGGCCAACGAUGGGCAAGGUAGUCCAGAUUCUUGAGGGUCUUGUUGAAGUCGACACCCCUCCGAUGCCUAAGCUACUUGAAGCUAUCGCCGGAAGAUCAAAUUCAGCAUGCACCUGACCUGAGUGGAACUUGUCUGUUGAGCUUGCACUUCUGUUGCUACUACAGUCUAAUGGAGCAUUUCUCAAGCACCCGCUGGUUCGAUCAUCUAGCUCCCAGUCCUCUGGUGAUCUCACGGUGAAGCCCUUCAUACAAUUUCAAGAUGGCAGCAUGUUAUAAUUGCAAUUUGAACCCUGAUGUCCCGGCCCCACCAGUCAGGGCCACAUGGCAAGUGGGAGACGGCGACCGCGAACGGCCGUUAACGGUGGCUUGCAUUCACCUGGUCUAACAUAUAUGUCCAUGUACCAGUCUCGAAGAAGCCAAGCGCGUACCUGUCGUUCCGGGAGACGAGCUUGUUGCCGCUGCCAAGUGGUUGGCGAGCUGAGAUGGUGUCUGUCGUAGCAGAGCUUGUCACACCGAUGUGUAGGUGGAAGAUUGCGGUGAAAACAAAGAUGAGGAGAAGGCGAGCUUGCAGUUGCAGAGAGAGACUGCAGAUGUAGCAGGAACGUAGGUGGUUCUUGCCAGAAAAGCAUUGUGAAGUUAAGUAGCUAUUCAAGUACAACCAUCAAAUUAACUAGUGGAGGGAAAAGAUGUUCCAUUGGCGAUCUAGGAUCGGGUGUUAGGCUUAACUUAGUGAUGAGCUGCACGACCAAUGGGCAUGGCAGCGACGUCAUCUCGUCUUCCUAGAAUAUAAUACUACUGCUCAUGAACCUAAAAUAUUUUUGUUUGCCAGUUUCCUGAACCUAAAAUAAGUUGACAAUGGGCAACACCAAUACAGCAGAGACAGGAACACCAAUACAAGUGACUAAAUUUUGUACUAAAGCUAGUACAAAGUUGAGUCUUAAUUUGGGAUGGAGGGAGUACUUGCCUGAAUUUAACAAACUGAAAAUGGGCUAGUUUUGAGACUAACCAAGGGAGGCUAUUGAUUGUCUUUUGAGUGGACGUGUUACUGCCACUAGUGGAUGAAAACCAGUGGCAAAUUAACAGAUGUUUUCUGAUGUUCUUACUGCCCUCUCAGUGCAAAUUGUUUGUUACUGUUUGGUGAUGUAAAUAGUCCAAUUUCGAAGGGUCAAACUUUCAGGGGUGUUAGAUGAGAAUACGGCAACAUGUCCGAGUAGGAUAGAAUGACAGGAUCGUGAUAGACUGUCGGUUUCCAUGUAUAGUUCAAACCGACCUAGCUAAGCUAACUUGUAUUGCAAGUCUGUACGUGUAUAUAUGUUGAUCAAUGAAAUCAAUCGAGGCGUGCAAUUGCAGCCCGAUACUGUUAUCUUACAUGGUAUCAGCUUGACCCUCGAUCCUUAGCCUCCCUCCUCUUCCAACCUCGUAUUCUCCAAACCCUAGCCUUGAACCUCCAUCACCAUGACUCCCAAAGAGAUCGCCGCCAAGGAAAAAGAGCUGAACGAGCGUGCCAACGCUCUUGACGCCCGCGAGACCCAGCUCAAUCAACAAGCCACCGACACCGGCAAAGCAAACGCAACCUCAGCACCUAGCCCUUCCACCUACGCCACCUCCAUCAAAAUCCAUGUUCCCAUUACCCUAGACCUCGCUGCCUCCAACUACACCAACUGGCGCGAGCUGUUCCUUGUCGCCCUUGGCCGCUAUGGCCUCACCUCCCAUGUCGUCAGCAAGGACGGUGCUACACCCUCCGACACCUCGCCCACCUCUGAUUGGGGCCGCGAUGAUUAUACGGUCCUCUCCUGGAUCUAUGGCUCCAUCUCCGCCGAUCUUCUCGGCAUCGUCAUGCGCCCUGGAUCUUCGGCGCGCACCAUCUGGGACGCCAUCGAGAACCUCUUCCGCGACAACAAGAAACAUCGGGCGAUCCAGCUCGAGGCGGAGUUCCGUAAUACCCCGCAAGGCGACAUGACGAUCAGCGACUACUGCACCAAACUCAAGGCUCUCGCGGAUGCGCUUGUGGACGUUGGCCAACCGAUCAGCGAUGAAACACUCGUCCUCACCCUCCUCCGCGGCCUCAACGACAACUUUGCACAUCUCCGCUCUUUUCUUCCAUUUCAGGUUCCCUUCCCCACGUUCCUGCAGACGCGCUCAGCACUAAUCCUGGAGGAGAAUCAGAAGAAGACCGACGCCAAAAACACCGCGUCCACGGCGCUCUGGGCAAGCGGCAACAGCGUUCUCUACGAACGCGCUCCUCCUUCCGGCUCCGGGGGCGCGACUGGCGAGCACGCUCCCUCCUCUGGCUACGGGGGGCGGACGUGGCCAGGUCUCUAGCAACACAAGCUUCACCAAUUACAACAACCGCGGCGGCCGCCGCGGCGGUCGCGGUAGUGGACGCGGCGGACGUGGACGCGGUCGCAGCGACAACCCGUGGCAGUUCAACCCCUGGACCGGUGCUCCUACGCGCGCCAACCUGCUUCAGCAGCAGCACUCUGUCGUCCCAUGGCAGCAGCCUCAGACGCCAUGGCAGCCUCGCCCAUGGCAAGCUCCUACACAAGGUCUACUUGGUUCCCGCCCACCAACACCAAUGGCUCCGCAGGCGUACCCUGCUUAUGGCACCAACAACCAAAACCUCUCCAUGCGGCCGUCAACGUCCUCAAGCUCGGCGAUCGACCCAGCUCUCCUAGCGGCCCUCAACAAUAUGCAGCUCCCUGGCUCACACGAGUGAUACAUGCGAAAUCAUUCAGGUGAGCUUACGCACCCGGGUACUGCUAUCCUGGACGUCCAUAUUCAUUGGGAUGUGUGCUACACGGAACGAAAAAUAUUAGGGGCCACAUUAUCUGGCAGUGUUUUAUAGACAUAAGGGACCGCGAUCGCCUACUUGGGCUAGGGGGGAACUGUACCAGAUGGCCCAUCCGCUCGCACAAAAGGACAGACACAUGUGGGCUUCGAAAGCAAGCAUCUCCAGAAAGAGAGACAGAGGAGUCAUCCGCGGUCGCCGCGUGACAUUUUCUCCUCCGUCUUCCUGUGGAGCUAGCUCGGCGGCGGGGGAAGAAACGAGAGAAGGAACGAGAUCUGAGAGGCAGCUUCGCUUGCCGGGGAGGGAGGAGGGGGGAUCAUUCGCCAGUCCGGGUGUUCUAAAUUUCUGUCUACUAUUAUCAGUGAUCUGAAGUCUGAACUGGCUAGUGGCCGAGUCUGAAGUUGAGCCUCCUGAGCCAGACGGAGUGCAGGAUCAUGUGGAACAUGUCGAGCCUCUCCGGCGGCUGCCGCAGAGAGAAGAUUGAUGAUUUGUCAUUAUUUAUACGCUGUCCUGAAGCAUUGCAAUAAAUCUCCAAUAGGUUUGACACUGCAACCGAACCCUCUACACUAGCCUUAAAGAGCAACAUGCUGUCAUCUGCAAACAAAAGGUGGUUUAUGGAUGGGGCUGUUGGGGCCACCUUAAUACCUGCAAGUGAUGACUGUGAUCUGGAUUUCAGGAGGCAUGAAAUGCCCUCUACUGCAAUCAAGAAUAAGUAGGGGGAGAUUGGGUCUCCCUGUCGGAUUCCUCUGGUAGGUCUGAAAGACUCGAGCUUCUCACCAUUAAAAAGAACAGAAAAGGAUACUGAAGAAACCAUACCCAUUACUGUGGUGAUCCACUGCUGAGAAAAGCCCAAUUUGCUCAUAAUGGCCUUCAGAUAUGACCACUCCAGCGCAGUCGAAUGCGAGCAGGUCUGUCUGAGCAACUGCUCUUGCAGUGCAUAUACCUUUGGAAGUGGUGGCUGUUCUAUGUGGCAUGGUGGAUUGCUGAAUGUAAAACAACACCACCAGAUUGAUGGUGCUUCCAGCGGUGAUGGCGAAAUUCUUCACAUCCGCCUCGCGGCAAAAGAGUUCCGGACUCGGAAAAACAACAAUGUAGUUAUCAUUUUAGGUGCCAUUGGUGCAGGCCUCAACGCUCUGGGUAUCUUGGUACUCAUCGUAGUGCUACGCAGGACCAGGAGGAACAAAAGGUACAGUGAAACAUUAGACAAAAUCCAUGGUGGUAGUGGGCUUGUUUCAUUC
This is an RNA transcript of Triticum aestivum (bread wheat), 6433 nucleotides long. It is a transcript of the gene named G-type lectin S-receptor-like serine/threonine-protein kinase At2g19130, with no coding region annotated. The transcript has 3 exons. The record is from RefSeq and is a predicted model, not a curated record. NCBI's taxonomy places the organism in Eukaryota, Viridiplantae, Streptophyta, Magnoliopsida, Poales, Poaceae.